AGUGAACGCUGGCGGUAGGCCUAACACAUGCAAGUCGAACGGCAGCACAGUAAGAGCUUGCUCUUACGGGUGGCGAGUGGCGGACGGGUGAGGAAUACAUCGGAAUCUACUUUUUCGUGGGGGAUAACGUAGGGAAACUUACGCUAAUACCGCAUACGACCUACGGGUGAAAGCAGGGGAUCUUCGGACCUUGCGCGAUUGAAUGAGCCGAUGUCGGAUUAGCUAGUUGGCGGGGUAAAGGCCCACCAAGGCGACGAUCCGUAGCUGGUCUGAGAGGAUGAUCAGCCACACUGGAACUGAGACACGGUCCAGACUCCUACGGGAGGCAGCAGUGGGGAAUAUUGGACAAUGGGCGCAAGCCUGAUCCAGCCAAACCGCGUGGGUGAAGAAGGCCUUCGGGUUGUAAAGCCCUUUUGUUGGGAAAGAAAAGCAGCAGGUUAAUACCCCGCUGUUCUGACGGUACCCAAAGAAUAAGCACCGGCGAACUUCGU
RNAcentral lists this ribosomal RNA (491 nucleotides) under uncultured bacterium. Its description in RNAcentral is "partial 16S ribosomal RNA". It matches the Rfam family "Bacterial small subunit ribosomal RNA", at positions 29 to 506 of the family's 1533-position model. The record is from RNAcentral.